Molecule: ribosomal RNA, 440 nt
Filed under: uncultured bacterium
Lineage: Bacteria
Description: partial 16S ribosomal RNA
Rfam family: Bacterial small subunit ribosomal RNA
Source: RNAcentral
CCUACGGGGGGCAGCAGUGGGGAAUAUUGCACAAUGGGGGAAACCCUGAUGCAGCGACGCCGCGUGAGUGAAGAAGUAAUUCGUUAUGUAAAGCUCUAUCAGCAGGGAAGAAAAUGACGGUACCUGAGUAAGAAACCCCGGCUAACUACGUGCCAGCAGCCGCGGUAAUAAGGAGGGGGCAAGCGUUAUCCGGAUUUACUGGGUGUAAUGGGAGCGUAGACGGGAGUGCAAGUCGGGAGUGAAAGGGGGGGGUCCAACCCCCGGACUGCUCUGGAAACUGGACGGCUGGAGUGCAGGAGAGGUAAGUGGAAUGCGUGGUGGAGCGGUGAAAUGCGUAGAUAUUAGGAGGAACCCCAGUGGCGAAGGCGGCUUACUGGACUGUAACUGACGUUGAGGCUCGAAAGCGUGGGGAGCAAACAGGAUUAGAUACCCGUGUAGUC